ACACCACCACGCCGUACGCUGCGUUAGCGGAAGUUUAAUGGCCCCAUUGGUGGGAUGCGUGGCCAAUAAAGGGCAAGAAUAAGGCGGAUUCCGCCUUCCUCGUGGCUGACUGGAUGCAUCCGCUGGUACUGAUUUACGUGAGUUUCAGCAUUUAGACGUUCCGAGUUUCCACCGAGCCAGAGUUGGGUAGAGAGUUAUUAAGAUGACUAGGAGACUAAUGCGGGGAGAAAUAAUUUAGUAGUUAGACUCAGGCCCUGAAACUACCACUCGUGUUCAGAAAGUCUACGUAAUACCUUAUUGUUUUCACGCGAAGAAACCAGCCCUUCAGGCCGGGCUGAAUGUGGUUUAGGGAUUCUCUGGCUGUCAUUGGGUGAAAAAGCGAUCAGUUUGAAGGUAGCUCCGCCUGGGCUCUAGGGAACUCUGGGAUUUGUAGUCCGGAACUUUCGAGUCCUGUAGCUUUAAAUGUGGUUGUUGCUACUGAGUUCUUUCAUGUUGUUAAUAACACCCAUUGACAUUUAUUGUGGUUUGUUGGACUUUUUAUCCUUUCGUUUAUCAGCAGCAUUAAAGACAACAUUUAAGAAAUGUGUAAACACUGCAUGUAUGUUCGUAAACAAUAAAUGUUAGUGUUUCCAACAAUUUACUGCUGUGCCUAGCUGUAUACUAUAUGUUCAUGCUUACUGUACUAAGUAGAUACUAAAAUUAUUUGUUUCUAAAACUUUUGCUGUUACAACAAAACAGUCUGAUUUUCAUAUUAGUGUCCAUUUACGAUUAUUUGAACCCUACAUUUAGCAAUUAUGUGUACUGUGAUGGCAUAGGUAGCAGCUGCUUACAUGAAUCAAGUGUUGUUAUGACAUGAAGCAGAACUGGCUGCUAUCUUCACAGGAAAAUAGGGCUAUGCUUAAAAUGUCAAGCAAGACCACCAUCAGGAGGAAUACACAUUGUAUAUUAUUAAAGACUGUAUUAUAGUGUCUAUUUUCAGCCUUUAUUAAAACAGUUUUAGGACAGGCUUUUCCUGAGUCUAUAGAAUCCUGAACUCUUCUGUGAGCUAAUUUAGCGGUAUUUCAUUUUUGUGUCUAGCAAAAGUAAAACCAUUAAUAAAUACCAAAAACUUGCUGAGUAGACUUUUCGCUUUCGAAAAAUUUUAAUAUUUUUUUCCUAUUUUACAUGUAAUACAAACUUUCGACUGUAGAAGAAAAAAACAUGAUUUCGGAUGUAUGUAAUACUUCUACACUUCUAGAUUAAAAUUAAGUACACUUUACAGAAUUAAAGCUAAGCAAAAACUGCGUUCAUUACUGAUGCUUGUAAUUAUUGCAUUUUUGUUUAAAAUAUCGAAUUAUUUUUGUCAUUUUUGUAUCUUAUUUCUAAAUGAUUAGAGAAGGUUUCAGGUUGUUUGUAAAGGAAACAUUACCGAUUUAGCUCUUUGUUUUGUUUUGUUUUGGAGACAGGGUCUCGCUCUGUCAUCCAGGCUGGAGUGCACUGGCAGGAGGUGGGAUCAUGGUUCACUGCAGCCUCGACGUCCUGGGCUCAAGUGAGCCUGCCACCUCAGCCUCCUGAAUUGCUGAGACUACUGGCACACGCCACCAAGCCCAGAUUUUUUUUUUUUUUUUUUUUUUUUGAGAUGGAGUCUCGCUCUGUCGCCCAGGCUGGAGUGCAGUGGCGCGAUCUCAGCUCACUACAACCUCCGCCUCCCGGGUUCAAGAGAUUCUCCUGCCUCAGCCUCCCAAGUAGCUGGGACUACAGGCACAUGCCACCAUGCCCGGCUAAUCUUUUGUAUUUUUAGUAGAGACGGGGUUUCACUGUGUUAGCCAGGAUGGUCUCAAACUCCUGAGCUUGUGAUCCACCUGCCUCGGCCUCCCAAAGUGCUAGGAUUACAGGCGUGAGCCACUGCGCCCGGCCAUAUUUUUUGUGUAGACAGAGAUUCGCUAUGUUGCCCAGGCUGGUCUCGAACUCCUGAGUUCAAACGAGGCUCCUGCCUCGGCUUCCCAAAGUGCUGGGAUUACAAGCUUAUGCUCGUUUUUAUUCCCAAUAAAUGAAGAGCGAAAUUGGGUGUAAAUCAUCGAUAUAUUUAUCCUUGUAAUAUUCUAUGUGAUGUAGUAGGUGAAACAUAUGGAUGGGUGAAGAUGACUCUGGCAAAAAUGCAGAAUUAUAUUUUUAAUGCUUUUCAUUAGCUAGCAUUUUAAUGGUAUUUUCCUUUUGCCUCUUAUUUUAAAUCAGUAGUUCAUUUAACAUGUUAAUUAAAUGUCAUAUAACUAAGAAUAAACACCAUUAAAAACUGAAUCAAGGCUACUGUGGUUAGCGCUGUUUAGCUGAAUGAUAGAUCAGCUGAGUGACUAAACUGUGGCCACAUUUGGCUGAUUUAAAUUCUAAGUGUUCUCUCAGCACUUUUGGAAGCUUCUAAAAUGUUUCAUUUGUUUAUUUUUGAGACAGAGUCUCCCUCUGUCACCCAGGCUGGAGUGCAGUGGCACAAUCUCGGCUUAUUGCAACCUCCACCUCCCAGGUUCAAGCAAUUCUCAUGCUUCAGCCUCCCGAAUAGCAGGGAUUACAGGCGCGUGCCACCACACCCAGCUAAUUUUUUCUAUUUUCAGCAGACACUGGGUUUUGCUAUGUUGGCCAGGCUGGUCUUGAGCUCCUGGCCUCAAGAGAUCCACCUGUCUUGGCCUCCCAAAGUGCUGGGAUUACAGGUGUGAACCACUGAGCCGGCCAAAAUGUUCUAUUUUAAAGAAAAAAAUUAUUAUUUUGAGAAUUUAAAAAACAUAUUUAAACAGGCACCAUUACUACCUUUAACAGUGUGAACCUGUGAAUCAUCUUUGUACUCUGUUGGGAAAUAGUUUAAGAAGUGAACUCAGGCUGGGUAUGGUAGUGCACACCUGUAAUCCCAGCAGUUUGGGAGGCUGAAAUGGGAGGAUUGCUUCAGCCCAGGAGACAGAGGUUACAAUGAAUCAUCAUCUCAACACUGCACUCCAGCCUGGAUGACAGAGUGAGACCCUGUCUAAAACAAAACUAAACAAAAAAAAGAACCAAGUAAACUCAAAGUGAGAUGAAUGAAACGACUCUUGAGAUGCAGGAAGAGAAUAUUAGAACCCUUAUUUGUAUGUCCUUUUUAUUCUCAACAUUUUUCUUUACAUUUCUGUGUUUUUAAAUUUUUUACAUAUAACAAUAUAAGCUUUUUUAAAAAUCUUUUUUUGUUUGUUUGUUUUUUGUUUUGUUUUGAGACAGAGUUUCGCUGUUGUUGCCAAGGCUGGAGUGCAGUGGUGUGAUCUGGCUCACCACAACCUCUGCCUCCCGGAUUCAAGCGAUUCUCCUGCCUCAGCCUCCCCAGUAGCUGGGAUUACAGGCAUUCACCACUAUGCCUGGCUAAUUGUAUUUUGAGUAGAGAUGGAGUUUCUCUAUGUUGGUCAGGCUGGUCUCGAAGUCCCGAUCUCAGGUGAGCCACCAUGCCUGGCCCUUUUUUUUUUUCUUUAAUAGGGGCAGGGUCUCACUAUGUUGGCCAGGCUGGUCUCAAACUCCUGGCCUCAAGUGGAUCCUUCCACCUCGGCCUCCAAAGAGCCAAGAUUACAGACAUGAGCCACUAAGCCUGGCCAUUUUUGCAAUGUAUAUGUAAAAAUAUAUAUGUAUUGAGUAAGUGGUAAAAUUUUUUUGAGAAAUAUGUGAUCAAAACCAUAUUUGGAGUUGGGACAUGACAACUGCAAUUUGAAGAUCUUGUGGGGAGAGAAGUCAAAGAAAAAAACACAAAUGUUUUAGUUAGUAUCUAAUAUGAAAGAAUGGUAUUGGCCAGUUAGCUCAGGUGGUUAGAACUGUGAAAAGAAAAUAAUCUCAGGACCCCAAAAUCACUAAGCCAAAAGGAAAAGUCAAGCUGGGAACUGUGUCGGGCAAACCUGCCUCCCAUUCUAUUCCUCAAUGAGAUAGCUGCAAGGAUAAAACAACUGCUUACCUCCUUCAUCACAAUUUGCCACAAGGAAAUUCCUUGUGGACUUCCUCCCUACUUCAAGUUAUUCCACCUUUCCAGACUGAACCAAUGUACAUUACAUAUAUUAAUUGAUGUCUCGUCUCCCUAAAAUGUAUACAACCCAGCUGUGCCCUGAACACCUUGGGCACAUGUCCUCAGGACCUCUGGAGGCUGCCGUGGGCACAUCCUUGACCUUGGCAAAGUAAACUUCCUAAAUUGAUGAGGCUUGUCUCAGAUACUCUUUGGUUUGCAGAAUGUAUUGCUGAUAUGAAGGAAAACUUGAGUUCUUAUAUCUAAAGUAGAAAAAAAAAUAGGCUGAAUGCUAUUCUUUAAUUUGUCACUUAAGAGCUACUUAGAAAAAAAAAAAAAACUUUUUAUCUGAAGAAUGCAAGCCCUGGCCGGGCAUGAUGGCUCACGCCUGUAAUCCCAGCACUUUGGGAGGCCGAGGUGGGUGGAUCAUGAGGUCAGCAGUUCGAGACCAGCCUGACCAACAUGGUGAAAUCCUGUCUGUACUAAAAAUACAAAAAUUAGCCAGGUGUGGUGGCGGGUGCCUGUAUUCCCAGCUACUGGGGAGGCUGAGGCAGGAGAAUCGCUUGAACUUGGGAGGCAGAGGUUGCAGUAAGCCAAGACUGUGCCAUUGCACUCCAGCCUGGGCAACAGAGUGAGACUCUGUCUCAAAAGAAAAAAAAAAAUAAAAACAGAAUGCAAGCCCCUUUAAAUUAUCAGGCCCAGGGAGGCAUUUGCAAUGUAACAGCAUUCUUGUCUCACUCUCUGUUGAACUAAAUAAUUACUCUUGAAGCCAUUUGUUAUAUAGUCUCUAGACUGACGCCAAGUAGCCAUACAAUGCCAUGCAUCCUGUAGUUCAACAGUGUAUAGCCAAUCACUAGCCAAUGUUAUUUCUGUAAACCAAUGAGAAUUCCUAAUGAACAAGUUUUUAAAUUGUCCCUUCUCCUGAUUCAUCCUAUUUUCUUCAAAAACUUGAGCCUCUCUCUGUUUUGUUCUCUGGAGCACUCAAGGCAACUUGGAAGUGUCCUGAAAUGCAAUCCUCAAGCUUAGCCCCCUCAAAAGUUACUUUUGCCUCAACUUCUUCCUUUUAGGUUGAUACUACCAUGAAAAAAAAUGUAAAGAAAUGGUUUUAAAUUGCAGCGUUAAGGGUUUAAGUCAUUAAGAAACGAUUUACCAUUAAAAAUUAUAUACACCCACACAUACACUCAUAUAUAUUGUUAAAAUAUGCCAUGAAGUCCAAAUUAUACACAAUACUUAAAUAAGUAACUAAUGAGCUGGGUGCAGUGGUGCACCCUUGUAAUCCCAGCUACUUGGGAAGCUGAAGCAAGAGGAUCACUUGAGCCCAGAAGUUCAAGACCAGCCUGAGCAAUAUAGCAAGACCCUCUCUUAAAAAAAAAAAAUUGUAUGUCAUACUACUUGCAAGUUCUCACGCCCAGUCACUGUAUCAGGGCUCCAUCAGGAAAAUAAAAUCAAUAGGAGACAUAUAUUAAGGGUUUUUUUGGCAAGGAGUUGACAUACAGUUGUGGCAGCUCCCUAGGUAAGUGUAAAAUCGGCAGAGCAAGCCAUCAGGAAAGGCAGGCUGGAACUCAGGCAUGAGCUGAAGCUGCAGUCUAAAGCAGAAUUUUGGCUGGACGCGGUUGCUCAUGCCUGUAAUCCCAGCACUUUGGGAGGCUGAGGCAGGAGCAUUACUUGAUCCCAGGAGUUCAAGGCUGCAGUGAGUUAACGAUCACAUCACUCCAUCCUGGGCAACAGUGAGACUCCAUCUCAAAAAAAAAGAGAAGGAACAGCAACUCAGAGCAGCCUAAGCUAUGUGAAGUAUGCAAAACUUGUUAGGCUUACAGAGACAUGACUUUUGAGACCUCAGUCAUCCCCCACCCACACCAACCCACACUGUAACUGCCCAGUGGAUUCACCUUCCCCACUGCCUAGACAGAGCUGAUUUAUCAAGACAGGGGAAUUGCAUGGAGAAAGAGUAAUUCACAUAGAACCGGCUGUGUGGGAGACAAGUAUUAUUACUCAAAUCAGUAUCCUUGAGCUUCAUCAGAGUUUUUAAAGACAAUUUGACAAGUAGGGACUUGGGAAGGGGGAAGUACUGAUUGGUCAGGUUGGGGAUGGAAUCAUAGGGGGUCGAAGUGAGUUUUUCUUGCUGUCUUCUGUUCCUGGGUGGGAUGGCAGAACUGGUUGAGCCAGAUUACUGAUCUGGGUCUGGGUGGUGUCAGCUGAUCCACCGAGUGCAGGGUCUGCAAAAUAUCUCAAGCACUGAUCUUAGGUUUUACAAAAGUGAUGUUAUCUCCAGGAGCAAUUUGAGGAGGUUCAGAGGAGCCAGAGGUUGCAUGGUUGCAUGACCCGUAAACUAAUUUCUAAUCUCUUUUUUUUGAGACGGAGUUUUGCUCUUGUUGCCCAGGCUGGAGUACAAUGGCACGAUUUCAGCUCUCCGCAACCUCCGGCUCCCGGGUUCAAGCGAUUCUCCUGCCUCGGCCUCCUGAGUAGUUGGGAUUACAGGUGCCCACCACCAAGCCCAGCUAAUUUUGUAUUUUUAGUAGAGAGGGGGUUUGUCCAUGUUUGUCAGGCUGGUCUCGAACUCCCAAACUCAGGUGAUCCGCCCACCUUGGCCUCCCAAAGUGCUGAUAUUACAGGUGUGAGCCACCUUGCCCGGCCCUGUAAUUUCUAAUCUCAUAGCUAAUUUGUUAGUCCUGCAAAGGCAGACUGGUCCCCAGGCAAGAAGGGGGUCUUUAUGGGAAAGGGCUGUUAUCAGUUUAUCAGUUUAUUUUAUUUGAUUUUUUGAGACAGAGUCUUUCUCUGUCACUCAGGCUAGAGUGCAGUGGUGUGAUCUUGGCUCACUGCAAUGUCCACCUCCUGGGUUCAGGUGAUUCUCCUGCCUCAGCCUCCUGAGCAGCUGGCAUUACAGGUGCCUGCCACCAUGCCCAGAUAAUUUUUGUAUUUUUAGUAGAGACAGGGUUUCACCAUGUUGGCCAGGCUAGUCUUGAACUCCUGACCUCAAAUAAUCUGCCUGCCUCAUCCUUCCAAAGUGCUGGGAUUACAGGCGUGAGCCACCGCGCCUGGCCAUGUCAUCAAUUUUGUUUCAUAGUCAAACCAUGAACUGAAUUCCUUCCCAAAGUUAGCUUGGCCUACGCGCAGGAACGAACAAGGACAGCUUAAAGGCUAGAAGCAAGAUGGAGUCAAUUAGGUCUGAUUUAUUUCACUGUCAUAAUUUCCUCAGGUAUAAUUUCAUCAGUUGUAAUUUUGCAAAGGCUGUUUCAAUACCCAGGGGCAACUGUUUAAAGACAUUUUAUUCUGUCCGGGUGUGGCGGCUUACGCCUAUGAUCCCAGCACUCUGGGAGGCAAGGCACAUGGAUCACUUGAGGCCAGGAGUUCUGAGACCAGCCUGACCAACAUGGUAAAACCCCAUCUCUACUAAAAAUACAAAAAUUAGCCGUUCCUGUAAUCCCAGCUACUCGGGCGGCUGAGGCAGGAGAAUCCGCUUGAACCAAGGAGGCGGAGCUUGCAGUGAGUCAAGAUCGCACCACUGCACUCCAGCCUGGGCAACAGAGUGAGGCUCUGUCAUCGCGACGCUCUGUCACAGCGAUGACAGAGUGAGGCUUGACACAGCGAUAUAUGUAUAUAUACAUGUAUAUAUGUAUAUAUAUCAUAUGUACAUAUGUGUAUCAUAUGUAUACAUAUAUAUGAUAAAGACAUUUUAUUCUUUCUUUCCCUGUAGUUGCCAGACUAGCUGAUAAAUUACCUAAAAUGUUGUUAAAGUUGCAGAGUAGGAGCCUCACCCAUUAUCUUCAUGUUCCUGGAAUUUGUUAUACAAGGAACAGUGUAUUGCCAAUCAAUAGCUUAUGUUAUUUGAAUGAACCAAUAUAAGAACUGCCCCACUUUUUAAAACCCACCUGAAUAUAUGCUGCUAAUCAGAGCAUAUAUUCAAGGCAACUUGAAUCUGUCUCUCCCAGGUUGCAGUCCUCAAAUUCGACCUAAAUAAACUCUACUUAUAUUAAUUUUUGCCUCACUUUCUUUAGGUUGACAGUCUUAUAUUUGUGGGAGUGAGUCAGUAUAAGCAUACAAGAUGUACAAACUAAUCCUAUUUUCCCCUCUUUUUUUUUGUUUGUUGUUGUGGCAGGGUCUUGCUCCAUAGCUCAGUCUGGAAUGCAGUGGUCCAAUCUUGGCUCAGUAUUCCCCCUCUGUUAAAAUACAUUUAAAAGGAACAGCCCUAACCUCACACUCCAUUCCAGCCUGGCUCUCUAACUUUCUGCCUCAUUCCACUGGCUAGUCCUUAAGACCCUGACCUAAUACUCUCUUUUUGAAGUCUCUGGCUCCAAUCUUAAGCACCAUAUUCUUUUGCCCAAAUCUGGAAUCCCAGGGCCUCUUGAAGGUUUCCCAAUACAUGUAAGGCCCACUCCUAGGCAUGCAUGCCUGCCUCUACUACGUAAGGAGUACUUCUGGAAGCCACCAGCUCUAGAGUUUCUGAAAAUGUCAACAAGACUGCCUUUGAAACCAGAGGGUGGGUGGUGGUGAGAACAUCCUGUGAAGGGUGCCAGCUGGUUUAUACCAGUCAGUGUGCCAAACUGCUCUUCUAAAGAUAAGAGGUGGUGCUGUUUUAAUUCCUUCAGUUUUAAGAUGCACUUUACUAUUACCCUUUUUAGUUUAGAAAGAAGAAAGUUGACGAAGAGGCAGGGCUAGCUCUGAAACCGAUAAUUAUGUUAAUCAAAAAUCCCACCCACCUCCAGAAAACCUUUUCACAGAGCUGCCAAAAGUGGUGAAUUGAUUGGUUUAAGCAGUAUGUUCUCUUCAUGCCACUUUCUUUUUUUUCUUUUUUUUUUCUUCCUGCCACUUUCAAGCUAAAAGAGUGAACAAAUAGUAAAAUAGCUACACUAAAUGGAGUUAAGAGGAGAAAAAAGGAAGGCCAGACUAUCUGACAAACCAGUGUCUGGGUCUUCUAUUUAAGAAUUAGAGGCCAGAAUUCCAGCACUUUAGGAGGCCAAGGUGGGUGGAUCACCUGAGGUCAGGAGUUCAAGGCCAGCCUGGCCAACAUGGUAAAAGCCUGUCUCUACUAAAAAUACAAAACUUAGCCUGGCAUGGUGGCAGGCACCUGUAAUCCUAGCUACUUGGGAGGCUGAGGCAGGAGAAUCACUUGAACCCUGGAGGCAGAGGUUGCAGUGAGCCAAGAUUGCGUCAUUGCACUCCAGCCUGGGCAACAAGAGAGAGACUCCGUCUCAAAAAAAUAAAUAAAAAAUAAGAAUUAGGACCAUACUUUUAUUUUAUUUUAUUAUUUUUUAGACAGGAACCACUCAGACUGCAUCCUUUCUUACUCUCCUGCAGGAAGAGAAUGAUCAUGAAGGGCAAAUGGCAGUGAAGCAAGAAGAGCUGGCUUCAGGCUCAGAAGAGAAUGCUGUGCCUCUUCCUCAUGGUUUGCGGUGCCCUGCAUGUUCAGAGAAACUUCUCUAGUAAUGAAUGAACUAUAGAAAUGAUCCCUGAAAAUAUGGUCUUGAUACUUUAUUUUUGUGGUGGUUUUUUUUGUUUUGUUCUGUUUUUGAUGGAAUUUUGCUCUUGUUGCCCAGGCUGGAGUGCAAUGGCACGAUCUCCACUCACUGCAACCUCCACCUCCCGGGUUCAAGCAAUUCUCCUGCCUCAGCCUCCCAAGUAGCUGGGAUUAUAGGCAUGUGCCACCAUGUCCAGCUAAUUUUGUAUUUUUAGUAGAGACGGUUUCUCCGUGUUGGUCAGGCUGGUCUAGAACUCCCUACCUCAGGUGAUCCACCCGCCUCGGCCUCCCAAAGUGCUGGGAUUACAGGGGUGAGCCACUGCGCCAGGUCAGGGCCAAAAGGAGCAGCUUGGGAUCCUUAUUCUGUGAAAAGAAGUUCACUUCUUUCUUAAUUCAGAUUUUGUGCUGGGCAAGGUGGGUCACGCCUUUAAUCCCAACACUUUGAGAGGCCAAGGUGGGCAGAUCACUUGAGGUCAGGAGUUCGAGAUCAGCCUGGCCAACAUGGUGAAAACCCGUCUCUACUAAAAAUACAAAAAUUAGCUGGGCAUGGUGGUGCACACCUGUAGUCCCAGCCACUCAGGAGGCUGAGGCACAGGAAUCCCUUGAACCCAGGAGGCAGAGGUUGCAGUGAGCUGAGAUUGUGCCACUGCACCCCAGCCUGGGCGACAGAGCAAGACUCCGUCUCAGACAAAAAAAAAAAAAUACAAAAAAAAAAAAAAACAAAGAUUUUUAAAUACCUAUUUGCCAAUUCAUAUGUAGUUGAUUUGGAGCAUGUACUACAAGAUUGGUUCUAAAUAUAUAUAAAUUAAGAGCUGAGAAAGUUAUUGCUAAGCUAAAUUCAACCAAUUACACUGUUUUUUUCUGCUCUCUCCUUGCACCUAUUUUAUUCUAAUUCUGUUUGUCAGGCUACUUACUUUUAUAAUCUUUUUUAGUGUGGAAACAGUAGAAAAAAGGUAGAGAAAAAUGAUAUCAUGAACACUUGUUUUUAAUUUGAAAAUUUUUUUUUAAAUAGAGACGAGGUCUCACUAUGUUGCUCAGGUUGAUCUCAAACUCUUGAGCUCAAGCGAUCCUCCCUCUUUGGCCACCCAAGGUGGCGGGAUUACAGAUAUGAGCCAUCACAGCAGGCCCAAAGCAGAUGUUUUAAUAAGCACUAUUACUCAAAGCUAGAUAUGUGAUUUUGAGCAAGGUAUUUUAUUUUCCUCUAAACUCCAAAUUACUCAUCAAGUGACAAUGUCUCUUGUUCAGGGGUUUUAUGAAAAUUAAGUAACAAUAAAAGUAAGAUAGCACAGUGUAGGCAUUCAGGAAUUAUAAGUUGAAGUUCCAACUCUUCCUCUACCUAUACCCCUUACUUUGUGAGAUUACAGGAAGGAUGACAAAAAAGGAUAUGUUGGGUUUUUUUUUGUUUUUUGUUUUUUGUUUUGAGACAGAGUUUCACUCUUGUUGCCCAGGCUGGAGUACAAUGGUGUGAUCUCAGCUCACUGCACCCUCCACCUCCCAGGUUCAAGUGAUUCUCCUGUCUCAGCCUCCCGAGUAGCUGGGAUUACAGGUGCAUGCCACCACACACAGCUAAUUUUUGUAUUUUUAGUAGAGUUUCAUCAUAUUGGUCAGACUGGUCUCGAACUCCUGACCUCAGGUGAUUCACCUGCCUCAGCCUCCCAAAGUGCUGGGAUUACAGGAAUGAGCCACCACGCCUGGCCUUUGUUGUUUUUUUGAGACAGAGUCUCCCUUUGUUGCCCAGGCUGGAUGGAGUGCAGUGGCACGAUCUCGGCUCCCUGCAACCUCCGCCUCCCAGGUUCAAGUGAUUCUCCUACCUCAGCCUCCUGAGUAGCUGGCAUUACAGGUGCGCUAUCACACCCAGCUCAUUUUUGUAUUUUUAGUAGAGACGAGGUUUCGCCAUGUUGGCCAGGCUGGUCUCAUACUCCUGACCUCAAGUGAUCCACCCACCUCGGCCUCCCAAAGUGCUGGGAUUACAGGUGUGAGUCACCGCGCCCAGCCCCAAAAAGGAUAUGUUUGCUGAGCCCUUUAAUUGUUGAAAAUGAACCUUGAAAAAAAGAAAAAUUAAUGAUAGGACUAGGAAUGUACACCAUCCAGGAGGUAGAAUUAAGAAAGUUUAAAUGCAAUAUGUGAAAACUAUACGCAGGCUGGGCGCAGUGGCUCACGCCUGUAAUCAUAACACUUAGGGAGGCCGAGGCUGAUGGAUCACUUGAGCUCAGGAGUUUGAGACCAGCCCGAGCAACAUAGUGAAACCCCAUCUCUACAAAAAAAAUACAAAAAUUAGCAGGGCAUGGUGGCUUAUGCCUUUACUCCCAGCUACUUGGGGGAUGAGGCAGGAGGAUUGCUUGAGCCCAGGAGGCGGAGGUUGCAGUGAGCCCAGAUCUCUCCACUGCACUCCAGUCUGGGCGACAGAGUCAGAUCCUGUCUCAAAACAAAAAAGAAGAAAAUUAUAGGCAAAGAAAUGUAGAUUUCUUUUAUUUAAUAUUUAAAAGAGAGUUGUUGUGAAGUUGAUAUGAAUUUAUGUGAAAUAAGACUACCAAGGCUGGGCGCUUGGCUCAUGCCUGUAAUCCCAGCACUUUGGGAGGCCAAGGUGGGAGGAUCACCUGUGGUCAGGGGUUCGAGACUAGCCUGGCCAACAUGGCGAAACCUUGUCUCUACUAAAAAUACAAAAAUUAACUGGGUGUGGUAGCGCACCUGUAAUGCCAGCUACUCAGGAGGCUGAGGCAGAAGAAUCGCUUGAAACUGGGCAGUGGAGGUUGCAGUGAACUGAGAUUGCACCACUGCACUCCAGCCUGGGCAACAGAGCAAAACUCCAUCUCAAAAAAAAAAAAAAAAAAAAAAGACUACCAGACUGAUGUGGUAUUUUUAGGAUUUUUUUUUCUUUUUUUUUUUUUUUUGAGAUGGCCCGACCUCUUCUUUUUUAUCAUAUGAUCUCUAACUGAUGUAUGUGACACAAUAAUACAAAACUAUUUGAGCUAUAAAAGAAAUAUGAAAGGCUUCUGUUUUCUUUUGUAGGCCUUCUGGAACUUUUGCCUCAGACUCAAAUACCAAUGACUCCUAAUCAUACCAAUAUCCCUACUCAUUGCCUACUUAUUUCUGGAUUUACAUAUUAUUUGACUCUCUCAUCUCAUAUCCUAGAGAAGUAUUUAGUAAGAGUUGGAUCUGGCCAGGUAGGGUGGCUAACGCCUGUAAUCCUAGCACUUUGGGAGGCUGAGGUGGGUGGAUCACCUAAGGACAGGAGUUGGAGAGCAGCCUGGCCAACAUGGUGUAACCCCAUCUCUACUAAAAAUACAAAGAUUAGCUGGGUGUGGUGGUGGGCACCUGUAAUCCCAGCUACUUGGGAGGCUGAGGCAGGACAAUUGCUUGAACCCUGGGGGCGGAGUUUGCAGUGAGCCAAGAUCGUGCCACUGCACUCCAGCCUGGGCGACAGAGUGAGACUCCGUCACAAAAAAAAAAAAAAAAAAAAAAAAAGUUGGAUUUAAUUUUCUAAGCAUUAGGUUAAAAUUUUUUUGCUAGAUAACAUGGUGUCCUAAGAUAAGCCAAGCAUUAUAAAGAUGGCUCUGAUGAUUGCCAGGAACGUAUUAUGUAUGCAGUAAUAAUAACACAUUGCAACAAAGCCAUGUUUUCUCCCAUUUUUAAAAACAUGUUUUGAUGAUGAAGGAUAUAAAAUACAGAGUCACAGUGAAAGCCUGCAGCUUGAGUACGUUUGUAAUCAGAUGAUUACAGAUGAUUGCUAUGAGGCUAAUGAAGUGAAAUUUACUCCUAGGUUUGAGAGUAGAUCAUAAAAGGAACAUUAAGGAGAUUAUAGUCUCAAUCAUGAACAUAUUCACCUAAUUAACAUUUUCCUACCUUUGAAUUUAAAUAUCAAAAGUAGAUACGUGAUAGUUGUUGAUUUGUAAUACAAAAUUUACUACUUUUGAUAGUCAUUUCUCACUUAAGCUUGUAGCAUGUAAUAAUUUUUUUUCCCACAAAUCUUUUCCUACAUUAAAAAAAUAUACAUAAAAAACUUGGCUGGGCGUGGUGGCUCUCGCCUGUAAUCCCAGCACUUUGGGAGGCCGAGGUGGGCAGAUCACUUGAGGUCAUGAGUUCGAGACUGGCCUGGCCAACAUGGCUAAACCCCAUCUCUACUAAAAAUACAAAAAUUAGCCAGGCGUGGUGCCACAUGCCUGUAGUACUAGCUACUCAGAAGGCUGAGGCAGGCUGAGAAGGCUGAGGCAGGCUGCAGUGAGCCAAGAUCGUGCCACUGCACUCCAGCCUAGGCAACAGGGCGAGACUCCGUCUUAAGGAAAAAAACAAAAAACUUAUUUGGGUUGGGCACAGUGGCUCACGCCUAUAAUCCCAGCACGUUGGGAGGCCAUGGUGGGUGGAUCACUUGAGGUCAGGAGUUUGAGACCAUCCUGGGCAAAAUGGUGAAACCCAGUCUCAACAAAAAAUACAAAAAACUAGCUAGGUGUGGUGGCGCUUGCCUGUAGUCCCAGCUACUGGGGAAGCUGAGGCAUGAUCACUUGAGCCUAGGAGGCAGAAGCUGCAGUGAGCAGAGAUUGCAGGAUUACACCACUGCACUCCAGCCUGGGCAACAGAGUGAAACUCUGUCUCUAAAACAAACAAACAAACAAAAAAACCUUAUUUGACUACUUCUUGAAGCAAAAUGCGCAGUGAAAAGAAAACUGUUUCUUUCAAAAAACAAAAUCAUAAAUAUAUACCUAGUAUAAGCGGGAUAAAUUAUACCCUUUGUCCUCAGCCCCUGCGAGAAUGCUCAGGGCAGAAGAUAAAUCUCCCUCUUUCCCCAUACAGAUGCCUUAACUACCUAUUUGAUCAGCUAAGAUAAGGAAAAGCAAGGAUUUCAAAGCCUUGCUGGGUCCUUGAGUAUUAGAUGAUAGCCCUGCAGGUAGAAGACUCUGUAACAUGAAACUAUCAUUAUGGUUCUCAUUCCUUAUGUGCAAGUAGGCCUCUGGGCGUGAUUAGGAAAUUGGAGGAUAAAAAAUGAGGAACAGAAACCACUCUGCACAAAUAACAUAAAGUACUACAUUACAUGGAAUGUGUUUUAUUUAGAAAAAUAUUUCUCUUUAACGUGAUUCACUCAAGAGAUGUUAUUCAUCACCUAUUAUGCGCCAGGUAUAUUCUGAGUCCUGGAGAGACAACAUUUAACAAAGUCCCUGUCCUCAUGUAGUUUAUUUUCUCGUGGGCAAACAGACAAUAUCUAUUAUUUUUAUUAAAAACAAUGUAAGGUAAUUUCAGCCAAUGAUAAGUAUGCUGCCGGGUGAGAUAUUCAAAAUAUUUAACACAGGUAUGGCCAGCUUGGUGUCACAUCUUCAUGUUCUCUCUUGUAUUUGCUGUCUCCCUUCCUGCCUCACUUCCCUUUCCUGCUCACUCCAACUUCCUUGACAUUGAACUUCCCAAAAAAGUGUUAGUAUAUAAGCUUUAGUUUGUGAUUGUGUUCCCAUAUACUCCCCAUCUUACCCCCACAUCACCCCCAAUUAGAACAUAGGCCAACCUUAGCCUUCUUGUGACAAGUGUUAUACUUUUAGUUGCUGGAUCUUGGGAAGGUCUAGGAGAUGCUGGGAUAGCAAGAUCAGGGGAUGUCUUGGGAAACACCACACCAUCCUCUAAUUCUCCUCCAUCCCAGUUCUCUUUCAGUCCCUUUGAUUCUCCUGAAUGUAAGUGUCCCAAAGUCCACAAAAACUUCUGUGUUCCCUCUUUUAGUGGCUUCACCAUCCCAGUCAACCACACUAAAAGACUUAACAUCACUUUUGACGCUCAACCUAAUCCUCUGCGCUUAGUCACACAUUCAUAGCACUGUGUGGGGAAGAAAAAGCGUUUUCAUGCACUCUUGCUCUCCCUCUGGAUAACACCCUAAUUCAGCCUGUCAUGAUUUAUUUGGAUUUUGCAAUAGCUUGAAACCAACUUUGCAUGCCUCCAUUUUCCACCUCUUCCAGCCCUUUGUAUUAAUAGCACCAAUGUUUUAGUGCCUUAAAAUAUCCGGCGGAUCACUUGAUGUCAGGAGUUCAAGACCAGCCUGGCUAACAUGGUAAAACCCCGCCUCUACUAAAAAUAAAAAAAUUAGCUGAGUGUGGUGGCGUGCGCCUGUAGUCCAAGUUACUCAGGAAGCUGAGGCAGGAGAAUCGCUUGAACCCGGGAGGCGGAGGUUGCAGUGAGCCGAGAUCACGCUAGUGCACUCCAGCCUGGAUAACAAAAGUAAGAAGACUCUGUCUCAAAAAAUAAAUAAAUAAAUAAUAAAUAAAUAAAAAGACAAAAUCCUUAACUCUCCUACAAUGAACUUUUGGUUUAAAUAGUGGAGUACCAUAAGAGCUUCUCACUUCUUUCUCCCAUUUUAUUUUUUCUUUUCUUUUCUUUUCUUUUUAGAUGGAGUCUCACUCAAUCACCCAGGCUGGAGUGCAGGGGCAUGAUCUUGGCUCGCUGCAGCCUCCCUCUCGGAUUCAAGCAAUUCUUUCACCUCAGCCUCCCGAGUAGUAGAAAUAGGGUUUCACUGUGUUGGCCAGGCUGGUCUCGAACUCCUGACCUCAAGUGAUCUGCCCAACUCAGCCUCCCAAAGUGCUGGGAUUACAGGUGUAAGCCACUGUACCCGGCUUUUCUCCCAUUUUCUUAUUUAUGUAUUUAUUUUAAAUUAUUUUUCAUUUUUGUGAGAUGGAGUCUCGCUCUUUCGCCAGGCUGGAGUGUAGUGGCGCGAUCUCAGCUCACUGCAGCCUCCGCCUCCCGGGUUCAAGCAAUUCUUCUGCCUCAGCCUCCUGAGUGGCUGGGACUACAGGCAAGUACCACCAGGCACAGCUAAUUUUUGUAUUUUUAGUAGAGAUGCGGUUUUACCAUGUUGGCCAGGAUGGUCCCGAUCUCUUGACCUCGUGAUCUGCCUGCCUCGGCCUCCCAAAGUGCUGGGAUUACAGGUGUGAGCCAUCGCACCCAGCCUUUAUUUAUUUAUUUAUUUAUUUUUGAGAUGGAGUCUCAUUCUGUCGCCCAGGCUGGAGUAUAAUGGUGCAAUCUUGGUUCACUGCAACCUCUGCUUCCCAGGUUCAAGCGAUUCUCCUGCCUCAGUCUUCUGAGUAGCUGGGAUUACAGGUGUCCACCACUAUGCCCAGCUAAUUUUUGUACUUUUAGUAGAGACAGGAUUUCAUCAUGUUGGCCAGGCUGGUCUCAAACUCCUGACCUUGUGAUCUGCCCACCUGGGCUUCCCAAAGUGCUGAGAACACAGGUGUGAGCCACUGCACCCGGCCUUUUCUCCCAUUUUCUAAGGUGACCAUAAAAAAUUUUCUUUUCUUUUUUCUUUUGAGACAGGGUCUUGCUGUGUUGCCCAGGCUGGAGUUCAGUGGCGCAAUCUGGGCUCACUGCACACUCCACCUUUGGGGCUCAAGCGAUCCUCCCACCUUACCUCUCAAGUAGCUGGGACUACAGGUAUGCAACACCACGCCCAGCUAUUUUUUCGUAUUUUUAGUAGAGGCGGGGUUUCACCAUGUUGGCCAGGCUGGUCUCAAUCUCCUGACCUCGUGAUCCGCCUGCCUUGGCCUCCCAAAGUGCUGGGAUUACAGGCGUGAGCCACUGCACCCAGCCUGUAUUAUGUCUUUUUAAAAAUUUAAACAUGUAUUACCUUGGGAAAAAAUUAAUAUUAAUAAGAAGAAACCUUUAGACUGUACUUUCAGGGAUCAUUUCUGUAAUUCGUUACUAGAGAAAUUUCUCUGAAUGUGUAGAGCAGUUAAUUUUUUUUAUUAUUUUAAAUAAAAUUAAAAAAAAAAAAACUGGCCAGGUGCAGUGGCUCAUGCCUGUAAUCCCAGCACUUUGGGAGGCCAAGGCAGGCAGAUCACGAGGUCAAGAGAUCAAGACCAUCCUGGCCAACAUGGUGAAACCCCGUCUCUACUAAAAAUACAAAAAUUAACUGGGCGUGGUGGCUCAGGCCUGUAGUCCCAGCUACUCGGGAGGCUGAAGCAGGAGAAUCACCUGAACCCGGGAGGUAGAGGUUGCAGUGAGCCGAGAUUGCACCACUGCACUCCAGCCUGGUGACAGAGCGAGACUCCAUCUCAAAAAAAAAAAAAAGAAACUUUCUAGCUUCCCUGUUCCCUUUUGCCUACAUGACAAGGCUUAAAUCGCCACAUCGCGCUCUUUUAAAUAGGGCCUCAGCCUGCCUUCUGAGCUCAUCUGACAGCCUUCUCCCCAGCUUCGCCCAUGCCAGUCACACAUUUCUUUAAGGAAAUAUAUUGAGCACCUACGGUAUGCUAGUGGGUAUAGAAACAUGAAUAAGACAUCCUUAGUUCCUCAAUGAAUUAUCUAAUGGCAGAAACAGAUGCAUAAAAAGUAAAUACACUUCAGGGGAUUCGAUGCUGAAAUAAAAGCAAAGACAAUGGCCUCUUCUAUGGAAAGGCAAAAAGCAACACUUUGCCCCAGUUUGUCUGUCAUUUCUGGCUCCAUGCCCUUGAUAAUGCUGGUUUGUUUGGUUGAGGUUUUGUGUGUGGGUGGCUGUACAGAAGGACAACAUGACAUUUUCUCUUACCAGUCCUGCCCUCUCCCGCCCGCAAGAAACAAAGGCUUUUUCUUCCUUGCUCACCAAUCAGUUUGUCCAUUAUGCUGUGAUUCUAUUUCAGUCAGGAUGCGUUAUAAGACAGUAAUUAAGAAGGCCAGGCCAGGCACAGUGGCUUACGCCUGUAAUCCCAGCACUCUGGGAGACUGAGAUGGGUGGAUCACCUGAGGUCAGGAGUUCGAGACCAACCUGGCCAACAUGGUGAAACCCCGUCUCUACUAAGAAUACAAAAAUUAGCUGGCCGUGGUGGUGGGUGCCUAUAAUCCCAGCUAGUUGGGAGGCUGAGGCAGGAGAAUUGCUUGAACCCGGGAGGUGGAGAUUGCAGUGAGCCGAGAUUGUGCCACUGCACUCCAGCCUAGGCAAUACAGUGAGACUCUGUCUCAAAAAAAAAAAAAAAAAAAAAAAGGUAAUUCAAGAAUAUUUAAUGGAGACUUUGGGACCUGAACGGGGGUUAAAGGAUGGAUAACAGCCAGAUGGCAGGAGUGGCCAGUGCAAAAAAUUUAUCUCUGGGAAAGAGCACAUGCAUGGGGACUAGUGAAGCAGUCAGCCUGGCUGCAGAGAAGGUGUUGCUAGUUAAUGGGAGAUAAGGUUGGUACAUGGGAUAAAGUUAUGGGCAUGAACACAGGCACAGGUGUUUAUAUCUGAAGUAAACAGGGACUCUGUAGGCUCUUGAGCAAAAAUAACAUGAUAAAAUCAAUACUUGAACAUUAGUGUGAAAGUUAGCAGGAUGCAAAAUGAAUUCCUGGUGUGCCUCCUUCCCAAACUCUCCACACUGGAUUAGCCCCCACACUUGGCAUGGAGCUAAAUGAAGACUAUCCCUCGAAGUUUUAGCAACGAAAGGGAAAAAAGAGUCAAUGGCUGCCUAUAAAGAGCAGCAGGGUUAAACAAAGAUAAAUUUGAAAAGAAGAGCAGAUUUGGAAGAAAACAGCAAUAUUCAGUUUUUAAUUCACCAAAUAUUUACUGAGCCUUUAGUACAUGCAAAACACUGCUAAGUACUGUGCCGAAUAUACAGUUCCUCUUUUCAAGGAGAGAGUAAUACAGGUACACAGCUCCCUAUCAUGGAAUGCAAGAAUGCUGGGAGAAUAGGAAUGAAGAAGAGAGUAUUCUAGACAAGUGGCUCUCAAACUUUUUGGUCUCAGGACCCCUCAAUACUCUUAAAAAUUAUUGAAGGCCUCAAAGAGCUUUUGUUUAUGUGGGUUUUGUCUAUCUAUCAAUAUUUUCAAUAUUAGAAAUUAAAACAAAAAUCUGGCCGGGCGCGGUGGCUCAUGCCUGUAAUCCCAGCACUUUGGGAGGCCAAGGCAGGCAGAUCAUGAGGUCAAGAGAUCGAGACUAUCCUGGCCAACAUGGUGAAACCCUGUUUCUACUAAAAAUACAAAAAUUAGCCGGGCAUGGUGGCACGCGCCUAUGGUCCCAGCUACUUGGGAGGCUGAGGCAGGAGAAUCGCUUGAACCCAUGAGGUGGAGGUUGCAGUGAGCCGAGAUUGAGCCACUGCACUCCAGCCUGAGCAACAGACCAAGACUCUGACUCAAAAAAAAAAAAAAACCCAAAGUCUAAAAAGAUGUAUUUACCCAUUUUUGAGUAGCGAUAUUAAACCCAUUACAUGUUAUCAUAAACAUUUUAAGAAAAAUAUAUUUUCUAAAACAAAGAAAAAUAGGUACAACAAAGAGUUAUUCUGUUUAAUGUAUUUGCAGAUCUCCUUACUGUCUGGCAUAUAGAAGAAACCUGGAUUCUCAUAUCUGACUCUGCCUUCAAACUAUUGUGAUUUUUUUUUUAAGUAUUUGAAGCAAACCUGUCCUCAUACAGACAUGGAGUAGGAAAAGGGAGGAAUUUUCAGACCCCUUGAAAGAGUAUUAGGGACCCCCAGGAGUCUUUGGUUCACAUUUUGAGAACCCCUUUUUUAAACUAUAAUUAGUUAUAUAAUCCUCCAGUAGGAUUUAUUUGUCAAAAAAACUCCCUGCAUUCCCAACACUAAUGAGAGCUAAUAGAAUGGGAAUGACACUUGUCAGUUUUUUUGUUUGUUUUUUUGCCCAGGCUGGAGUGCAAUGGCGCGAUCUCGGCUCAAGAGAUUCUCCUGCCUCAGCCUCACGAGUAGCUGAGAUUACAGGCGCAUGCCAUCACACCCGGCUAAUUUUUGUAUUUUUUGUAGAGAUGGAGUUUCACCGUGUUGCCCAGGCUAGUCUCAAACUCCUGAGCUCAAGUGAUCUACCUGCCUCGAUCUCCCAAAAUGCUGGGAUUACAGGUGUGAACCACCGCGCCUGGCCUAAAUUGUUUUUUUGUAAUCUAAAAAGAGGAAACUAAAUUUUACUAAUUGUUGUGCCAAACCCCUAUUAACCUCUGUAAGGAAGGCACCAGGUUCAAGAGGCCAAAGGAGAGACCCAGAACCAGCAAAUAAGACCUGGGGUUUUAUUAGGGGAUUACAUACAUGGAAGAGAAUCCAGUGGCAGCAGGCUGGAAAGGGGAAUUGCCUUAAUUAGAGAAAUGGUCCAGUGGCAGUGGGAUGGACAAGAUAUCUGUCUUACCUACAAUCCAAUGGUGGCAGGUUGGACAACAUGACCCCCUGCCUAUAGUCCGGGGCUGGUGCACUGGACAUCACAGCCACAUGGCCCAGUGACGACUGGCUGCGCAGAAAAACCACAAUCAUUUGCAAAUAGUAUGCAAUUAAUAUAGCAUUUUCACCUAACACCCUCCCUCUAACAACCUCCACUUGGCAAGCUGCAUCCAACCCAAAACUCAGGGCCUAAAUCCCCUGUAUGGCCCCUGGUCCACUGUGUUAUGGGAUCCUUGGGGGUGUUGCUUUUCCAGCCGGAAACCUCUGUGGCCAGUGGCGCCUUUGCCUGAGUUUUGCUCAGGCCCAUUGGGCCGAAUCAGCCUGUCAGGCUGUGCUCAGCUCAUGCUACCUGCCAAGAUCCCACACCUUCUGAGAUGAGUGGAGUGGAGUGGUGACAGGUGUGUGAGCAAGUGAGCACGGGGUCCAGCCACUGCAAACAGCCAGGCACAUCGGCUGCAGUAGGGCAGGCAGCUCCAGGCACCACCACGGGCACUGGCUCCCUGCGAAGCUGCAGCUGAACCAGGUGUACCACAAGUAGCUUCCACAGCUGGCACUGGGGAACGUGGUGCUGCCCAGAAGCUUGGAGAUGCCAGGAAAUGCAGUGUCAAAGAGUAUGUCACAGCCUUGGCUUGGGGAGCUUCUAGGUCUGAGCUCAUCAAAGGGCCACAGCUCUUCUCUCCUUGUCUCCUGCAAUGUGGCAAGCAAGGGGUGUGUUUCAGCCCUGUUUGUGUUACAGCUCUUUUAGACCCGCCAUGCGGCAGGUCCUGAGUUCUCGUCCUGUGUCCAGAAAGAAUGAGGUACGUGGACAAGUGGAGGGUGAGCAAGGCGAAGAAGAGCUUUACUGAGCAACAGAACAGCUCAGAGACCCACAGUGGGUAGCUCCUCUUUGAAGGGAGGGUGUCCCAUCAAGUGUUCGGCUCUCAGCAGAGAGGAGACCCUGGGGUGGGUAGCUCCUCUCCAUAGCUGGUCAUCCUGUCAUCUCCCUGAGUCUGGCUGAGUCAGGUUUUUAUCAGCAAGGAAGUGCUUGCUGAUUGGUCCACAGGCAGCCAUGGGCGGGCCCAGAAAAAAGCACAAAUUCCCACUCUGGUCUGCAGGGCUGGCAGCCUGGUCCCCAGGCUUCACGCCUUCCCCAGCUUGAAGGCGGGGCUUCACCAGGGACCUUCCCCUUUCCACCCAGGAGCCUGCCUGCCUCCUGCCACUGUUCAUGGUGCCCAGGCUGCUCUUGCAGAGUGGUGCCUGCAGCCCAGCACUGAGCUGCCCUCAGACCCCACUCAGCCUCCCUCCCAUGCUUGUUUGUGCCCAAAGCCCGGAGAGGGUCAAGGCGGCAGGGGGCUGGCAUGUCAGCACUGCCCCAAGAAUGAGCACACCUGGCUGGAUUGCAACAGCACCUUGGCUUGGCCUCAACUUUGCACCAAGAUCUGAUUGGGCUCCAGGAGUAAGGAGAGGCUAGGCAGCGGGAGCAGGCAUUUCCGACCCUGCAGCUGCAGCUUGGGCGGCUGCAGGUGCAUCCAGGAGGGUGGGGAUCCUGCCUGCUCCAUGGAAUACACAGCCCCAGCCGCGCCUCCCGGCUGCAGCCAGCAUUGUCAGAGAGGCUGCUCCAGAUGGGCUGCCACUGCCAUGAACAGGGCAGGACAGGGGUUCAGAUGUUCAUCAUUGAUAAGGAAAAAAUGUCCAGGUUGGCCACUCCCAGAUUCCCUAGCUUAGAACACACAUUCAGAUGCAUCUGCCAUACAGGGUCAUUCUCAGGGUAGGCUUCACUUAUUGCUCUCAGGUGUGUUUAUGCUACACUAAGAUUAGUGUGUAGGUUGACAUUUGCAUCUUCACCAGUCUGAAGGCCUGAUGGUCACAUCAGGUAGGGAGUAUCAGGGACAAGAGCAUGAAUUCCCUAAGUGUCACUCUCACUUGUUUGUUCAUUUUCAGCUGACACAUUGUACAAUGGUUAAGUAAAAGAUUUCCCAAUUAUAAUAUUUAGCCUUAAGUAACUUCAAAAAAUGGGUGUUGGUUCCCUGCCCAGAUUCUACUUACUGGUCAUGGUCCCCAUUCCCUACAUGCUGUGACUCUUGGCUGCUACCAGUUCAUACCUGUAUCUUUCUGUGAAGAACUGACCAUAAAUGAUGGAUGCUACCUAAUCAGGAACAUCACACUCUGCCACCACCCUCCUGCACUAACUCCAGGCGGCCCAUAGCCCACGACUGAAUAAUACAGGAAUACUAAAGCUUGCUUCCUUGCCUCAAGAAGAGACAAGUCCAUGGUGCCAUCCACACUCCAGAGCUGCUCAUGGGAUCAAAAUGAAGAUAGAUUUCAACUGAACCCAUGUCUUUGCCUAGCUUCUUCCUCUGUCCUAUUCUGUUUCUCUCACUCCCUUACAGGUUUCAGCUGACAUCACUCUCUCAAAAGAAUCGCUGGCACAGGAAUCUUCAUCUCAAGUUCUGCUUCUUGAGAACAUAGCCUGAAACAAGCGUAUGAUUUUAAAACAAUCAUGCAAAGAGGACAAGGAUUGAAAAGAUCAAUAAUGAAGAUAAAAGCAACAACAACAAAAUGGCAGAACUAGUUCUUUUCCUACUUCUGGUAUAAUUUCUUCUUAGCCAAAAUAUGUGAUAAAAAUGACAGUUUAAUAAAACCUAACAAGAUGUCAGUUAAAAGAGAACUACAAAGAGGACUAUUUGAAAAAAAAAUUCUAUCCACUUUCUUUUUUUUUUUUUUUCGAAAUGGAGUCUUGCUCUGUCACCCGGCCUGGGCAACAGAGUGAGACCUUGUCUCAAGAAAAUUUUUAAAAAGGCAGUAUCUUCUGAUAUUAAGGAAGAUGGGUAUUUCUAGUGGAAUUUCAAUAAAAAUUUUUCUAUAAAUAGGGUAUAGGACUAAAAAAUGAGUAUCCUGAUUUUUUACUACUUCUUUGAAUCUUGGCAUCUUUUUCAAUUAUGUUUCUCAUCUAUGAUAGAUAUUAAAACCAAUAAUUAAGAUAAAUUGAAUGUAAACCCAUACCUCCUCAGCAGAUCUGUAGAACUUAUGUAAAAAAAUAAAAAUACAAAAUAAAUAAAACCAGACCUUCAAGCAUCUUUAUUUCCAUGAUAUUAAACCAAGAUUAAAAAAAAAAAAUCUAACGGUGGCCGGCACAGUGGCUCACACCUGAAAUCUCAGUGCUUGGGAGGUUGAGGCAGGAGGGUCACUUGAGGCCAUUGGAGUUCAAGGUUGCAGUGAGCUAUGAUAAUGCCACUGCAUUCCAGCCUGGGUGACAGAGUGAGACAUUGUUUCUUAAGUAAAUAACUUUAAUGAUUACUAUUUAUAAUUGUAGCAAAAUAUUUA
This 23797-nucleotide long non-coding RNA is filed under the name Homo sapiens (human). RNAcentral describes it as "non-protein coding lnc-SYNE2-3:5". The stretch from base 17059 to 17132 matches the Rfam family "Small nucleolar RNA U3". Lineage: Eukaryota; Metazoa; Chordata; Mammalia; Primates; Hominidae. The record is from RNAcentral.